Molecule: long non-coding RNA, 709 nt
Organism: Leptopilina heterotoma
Lineage: Eukaryota; Metazoa; Arthropoda; Insecta; Hymenoptera; Figitidae
Exons: 5
Source: RefSeq, a predicted model, not a curated record
CCGUUUGUCACUUUUCGGUCGCGAAAUUUCAAAUCCCAGUAACGAGAAAUUUGAGUCAUGAGGCCUCGGUCUUCUUACAACAAAUUGUUGUUUUCGGAAUUCUUAUAUUUCGAUUAAUUAUUAUAGAAGGGAUCUCUGAGGACGAUUGACUCGAAGAUCAUUGUCACUUAACUGGGAAUCGUUGUCUUUGCUGGAGGCGAUCCAUCGAAAUUGGCCAACUUAGAGAAAGUUUAGAGUCUGUGCGCGUUCUUAAACCGUUUUGCUUGAUUUAUGUCUUGUUUAGUUAGUUUUUUUGAAAGUUAAUGAACUUUUAAAGUGGUUUCUAAUUAAUCAGUGUUGUGGACAUGUUACAAAUUAUGAGUGACUAGUUGGUUCUGUUAAAUUUUCAUCGUGGUUUUUUAUUUUGAUAUAAUUUACUAUACUUGAAAGAUGAUUACAACAGUUUUGCUUUUACCUAAAAAGAUUCCAACGUCACGAGUAAUUUGUUGCAACCUAAAACACUUAAAUAAUUUAUCAAUCAUUCUGGAAUCAGUGCGCGUUUAAAAGUAUAAAAAUAAAUUUAGUGAAUGUGUUGUGUUCUUCGAAUUUGGAAGGAUUCCAAUCGGGCGUCAUCCAUUUUCAUCGAUGGGUCAGUUGAGUACGGCAUUUAUUUAUUGAAGCUGUCCCGUAAGUCAUGGAAACUGCAAAGGUCUCGCUAAGAAAAUUGGUA